AUCAUUAAUAAAUUUUAGCUCAAGUGCUUACCCACUGUCGAUCUUUUUAACACUUUUUUUUUAUCUUUUUAAUUUGAAAAUGGCAAAGCAAUUAAAUAGCAAGAAAUAACAUCAGUGAAGAGCCAGAGUUCAAACUAGGCAGAGUAUUUAGUUCUUAAGAGGAAUUCAGUAACAAUGUGAUAUGUAUUUAGUUCAAUAAAUUACCGAUUGUGAAUGAAUGUACACGCAACAUUGUAACGACAAAGACAAAUUAGUUUCUGUGAAAUACUUGGCAGGCAUGUUCAUACAAUUGCAUGCAGGUUGCUCUUAUAUACAGACAUAUAUAUCUAAUAUAUCGUAUAAGGAUGAAUAUGUAUAGUAUUAGCGAAGGAGAGUAAGAGCUAGACUGUAAUACAUGAUAGUAUAAAACUCGUCUGAAGCCAAACGGGUAUAAACUUAUUCGUCAGAGUAGCACAUACCAGCACAGUAACAUUAACUGAAUACUCCUCCUUCUAUUCCUUGUUCCUCCUUGCGUUCAUAAGUUCUCUGGUUCCCUGGUUUGGGUCUUUACAGUCGGAAACUGCUUGCUUCGUCUUACCAAAGUCAUUAGUAUUCAAACAUUACCAUCACUUAUAAACCAUUCAGAAUUUACUUGUGCCGUCUAAUCAAGUCAAUCGAACAAUGCAAUUAUUAUAAAUUAUCAUCAAAAAUUUUUAUAUAUUAUUUCUAUUAUUAUUUAACGCAAUCGUAAAGCAACAAAAAAAAUUAGAUUAAUUGAUUACUGACAUUUGAAUUUAGUACAGACAUUUAUAUCAUGCUUUGUUUGUCCAAGUACUUUUUAUUUCCAGAUCACUACAGAAUAAGCGUCACUGUAUAAUUUAGCGCUUUCAUUAAUAGUAUCGCGAACCACCAGCAUUGUAUUAUUGAAUGAAUUUCGCCAUAAAUUAUUACCAUGCAAUUAUAACUUUAAAGUAUUGUCAAUAUUAAUAUGCAAUAGCUUUGUAAACUUCCUACAAAUAUAUAUUUUAUUUAAAUUUUCAAAGAGAGUUUAAGUAAAACUACAGAAUAGUAAAAUUCCGCUUCAAAGUUUUGAAAGAAUUUGUUGAAAACAAGCUUAAAUCAGCCAGAAAUAUAUAUCCGUUUGCAUUUACACUCUAAAAUAAAAUCAAAAAGCUUUAUUGGUGACCCAAAAACUCCGAAACUAUGGACAAAAUAAAAGUAUUAAAUGUUACGUUACAUCUCC
Long non-coding RNA from Cotesia glomerata, 1222 nucleotides. RefSeq lists it as uncharacterized. The record is from RefSeq and is a predicted model, not a curated record. The transcript is spliced from 2 exons. Lineage: Eukaryota; Metazoa; Arthropoda; Insecta; Hymenoptera; Braconidae.